CACCUGACCCAAAUCUAACCCAAACUUGACCCAAACCUAACCCAAACUGAACCAAACCUAACUGAAACUCAACCAAACCUGACCCAAACUCAUCCAAACUUAACUAAACCAAAACAAGCACACAUUGGCUUCCAGCCACUGCGGUAUGUUGUUCAUGUGUCCCAUCAUCUCCCCAGCCAAUCACUGCCUCACCCAUGAGAUGACCACCAGCCCACUCUUGGACCAUCUGACCUGCAGCUGAACCCUUCCCAGAGUGCUUUUUGGGGUACAAAAAUGAAUGGAAGUGACCAGGAUUUAACAAAGGUGUAAAAGGUCCUUAUUCUGUAAGGGUUUUCUUAUUUCCCACAGUUAUGGUCAUCACCAUCAUCUUAUGGUCACGGUCAUCUCAUGGUCAUCUCACAGUCACCUCACGGUCACAAUCAUCUCACAGCCAUGGUUGUGUCAUCAUCAUCUCAUGUUUUUUAUCACCACACAGCUAUGGUGUGGUGUGGCACCUCUUGGUCAAGAUCAUGUCAUGGUCACAGUCAUGGUCAUCUCAAGGCCUUCAUCAUUUCAUGACCAUGGUGGUGUCAUGGUUAUCUCAUAGUCAUAUCAUUGUCACGAUCAUCUUAUGAUCAUCUUGUGGUCACAGUCAUUUCCUGAUCACCACCAUCAUUUUAUGCUCAUGGUCAUCUCACUGUAAUGGCCAUCUCAUGAUCAUGUCAUUGUCACCUCAUGGUGACAUGUCAUCUCAUGGCCACGAUCAUGUCAGGGUCACCUCAAGGCCACGGCUGUCCCAUGGACAUCUCUUGGUCCAAAUCAUCUCAUGGUCAGGGUUAUGGUUGUGUCAUGGUCAUGGUCAUCUCCUGGUCAUGGUCACAGCCAUGGUCAUGGUCACAGUCAUGGUUAUCCCAUGGUCAUGGUCAUCUCAGGGUUGUGUCACUCAUGGUCACUCUCAUCUCACGGUCAUCUUGUGUUUGUGUCAUGGCCAUGGUCAUGGCCAGGGAACCUCUCUGUGAUCCCAAGCACCGAUUUUGGGACACUCAAGGACACUUGGGGACAGCGAGGACUGGUCUGACCCCUCCCCCCAUCCCACUGCCCCUCCAUGAGCCCGAUGUGGCCAAACCCUCCUGGGGACACCUUGGACAUGGGACACAGAAUGGGAAAUGAAUCCUGGGGAAUGGAGCUGGCCAUGGCUGGCAAGUCCCCACCUUUCUCCUGGUGUCCCCAAUCCAGUCCUGGUGUCCUCUCCCUGCACCUGGUGUCCCCACCCCAGUUCCUGGUGUCCCCAUUCCCAUUCCUGCUGUUCCCAUCCCUAAUCCCAGUGUCCCCAUCCCUAAUCCCAGUGUCCCCACUCCCACUCCAGGCUCCCAGAGAGGAACUGCUGGACACUGGAGGAGGAACCCGGAUUUCUUGCCCCAAGCAGGAUUUCUUGCCCCAAGCAGGAUAAUUUCACACCAGAACUAAAGCAUCAGGAAUAUUUGUGGGUUUUGGCUCUAAAACAUUGGUGUCAUGGGGGUGACUUUACCUUUAAAAUAGCUUUGAGAGCUAAGGAAGUUGAAGCUGCUGGUGGCUGAUGGGAGUUUUUUCUCCUGACUAAUUAUCGGUCAUUUCUAAGAAUUGACAGUAGUUUUGACCAUUGAAAAGCGAGAUCAACUUGUGAACACCACCUUAAGACGUAAAGCCAGAGCUCUCUUGUUCCCUUUGGGUUUCCAGCCUCUGACAAGGUAACAGGCUCUGUCUUAGCCUCCUUCCCCCCCACCUCCAGGCCGGACAAGGCCGCAGAGGGCGGGGGGCGGGGGGCGGUGGGGAGAAACGGAGCCGGCCAGCCUGGUUUGGUUUGCAGUUUCUACUGCUGGAUUGAAACCUGACACUAUUAACAUCUGCAGCUUUUCCAAGACUUUAAUUCUUUUACUACCUGGAUAAAACGUACAGAUUACUCCUUUUUCCCAGAGAGACAAAGAGAGAGAGAGACAAUCAACAUGAAGAAGACAUCAUAAAACCAUCAAAGACAGUGAAGAAAAGAGUUAAGUUUUAGAUGGGGAAGAGAGAAUAAGGAGAUGCUUUAUAAGCUGAAAUAUUUUUCUGUUCAAGCUAUGGAGAUGGACAGUAGUGUUCUGAAAAAAAACUCCUUUAAUUCAUGACAGAGUAUAUUGGGAGGAAUGGAGUG
RNAcentral lists this long non-coding RNA (2149 nucleotides) under Parus major (Great Tit). RNAcentral describes it as "lncRNA (ENSPMJG00000003246.1)". The record is from RNAcentral. Lineage: Eukaryota; Metazoa; Chordata; Aves; Passeriformes; Paridae.